RNAcentral lists this ribosomal RNA (253 nucleotides) under uncultured bacterium. RNAcentral's name for it is "partial 16S ribosomal RNA". It matches the Rfam family "Bacterial small subunit ribosomal RNA", at positions 524 to 776 of the family's 1533-position model. The record is from RNAcentral.
UACGUAGGGUGCAGGCGUUAAUCGGAAUUACUGGGCGUAAAGCGUGCGCAGGCGGCGCGUUAAGACAGGUGUGAAAGCCCCGAGCUUAACUUGGGAAUUGCGCUUGUGACUGGCGGGCUGGAGUGUGGCAGAGGGAGGUGGAAUUCCACGUGUAGCAGUGAAAUGCGUAGAGAUGUGGAGGAACACCGAUGGCGAAGGCAGCCUCCUGGGCCAGCACUGACGCUCAUGCACGAAAGCGUGGGGAGCAAACAGG